GAGAGGUCCCUGCCCUCAGCUGUUUAGCUAUUUAAACGUCAUCCCAUGCAUCAAACGGUUAAACUAUUCUGAACAUUCUGGUGCUAAACGGAAUGAGGGUAGUCAUCCCUCUCAU
RNAcentral lists this microRNA precursor (115 nucleotides) under Medicago truncatula (barrel medic). RNAcentral describes it as "MIR5294 microRNA precursor family". It matches the Rfam family "MIR5294 microRNA precursor family". Lineage: Eukaryota; Viridiplantae; Streptophyta; Magnoliopsida; Fabales; Fabaceae. The record is from Rfam by way of RNAcentral.